CUAAAGUGAGUAAAGAUAAGAUGAAGUCUGAAUUUGGUCAAAAAAAGAAAACCCCAGAAGGAGCAGAGUCAAGACGUAUGCAAUGCUCAGAGCUCAGAGAGCUGACCAGGUUGCAUGAGAAGUCUCCGAAGACCUAGAAAAAGGUUUUGCUUACUUUAAAGAAAUGAAAUGGAAGUUCUGUGUCAUUGGCUUGUCCAGCUGAAGGGCUGGUGGGUCAUCAUCAGGGAGCGUGGUAGGUAAGAGAAGGCACAGGAGGCUGUCCCGUGAUCGAAACUCUUUUAGUAACUGGAAUAGAGACCAUUUCAAAUCCAAACCGAGUCACCAGACGUCAGCUACAUGUGAGAUGAAAAACACAGUGAAGAAGUUGGAGCAUGACUCUCAUUCACCGUUCACUGUCUUUGGUUAAAAGCCCACUGGAAAAUGAAUGCAAGAUCUUUAGCAAAAAAAAAAAAAGGUAGAGAUUUGUAACAAAAUCUAUUAGCAAAGAUAUAUGACUCUGCAAAGGGGACUGAUUCAGGAAGAGUAAGAGAGAACAGAAGGAGCCGCAGGGUCAGCAACAAAGGAAAUGAGAACUUAAGAGGAGAGAAUUCAAGAAAAGGAGGAAGAAUUGCCGAAGCCAAGUGGUCUGGAUAAAUUCCAGAUUGCUAUUCAUGAAAAGAAAGCUUCUGACAGCUGGGGUCACUGUUGGUCAUUCAGCAAAACGAGCUCUUGCUGGAGAGAAGAUCAGGCUGUGCACUCCAGGUGUAAAUUAACACAGGCGGACCAGGGGCAGCAGGCUCACUGCCAGUUGGGGGUACACACAGACACACACAAGCACACAGACGUACACGCACAUGCACACACAUACACAGAUGCACACAGACACACGCACAUGCACACACAGAGGCACAGACACACGCACAUGCACACACAGAUGCACACAGACACACGCACAUGCACACACAGAGGCACAGACACACGCACAUGCACACACAGAUGCACACACACACACACAUGCACACACAGAGGCACAGACACACGCACAUGCAUACACAGAUGCACACAGACACACGCACAUGCACACACAGAGGCACAGACACACGCACAUGCACACACAGAUGCACACAGACACACGCACAUGCACACACAGAGGCACAGACACACGCACAUGCACACACAUACACAGAUGCACAUGCACACACAGACACACACGUGCACACAGACACUUGCACAGACACAUGCACACACAUACACAGAUGCACACAGACACACGCACAUGCACACACAGAGGCACAGACACACGCACAUGCACACACAGAUGCACAUGCACACACAGACACACACGUGCACACAGACACUUGCACAGACACAUGCACACACAUACACAGAUGCACACAGACACACGCACAUGCAUACACAGAUGCACAUGCACACACAGACACACACGUGCACACAGGACACACAAUAGUGCACAUGCACAUGCACACAGAUGCACAUGCACACACAGACACACAGGUGUGCACGCAGGGUGCCUUUUCUCCAGAGGUGCGCCUCUUUUUUUUUUUUAAUUGAGGCAAAAUUCAUAUAACACAAAAUUAGCCAGUUAAAGUGAAUGACUCAGUGGCAUUUAGCACAUUCAGUGUUUGCAAGCACCACUUCCACCUAGUUCCAGGACAUUUGCAUCCCCCCAGAAUAAAACCUCAGGCCAUUAGGCAGUUUCUCCCCAAUCCCCUCCCUCUAGCCCGUGGAAACCACCGCUCUGCUGUUUCCAUGGAUUUACCUGUUCUGGGUGUUCCAUGUAAAUGGAAUCACCCACGUAUGACCUUUUGUGUCUGGCUGCUCUGUUAGCACUGGAACCUUAGGAAGCAGGGGCGCAGGGCAUUCUUGCUGGCCCAGCAGCAGCUCAGCACUCAGGCCCACCCCAAUCCCCCUUCCCACCACCUUCC
This is a long non-coding RNA of Equus asinus (donkey), 1925 nucleotides long. Lineage: Eukaryota; Metazoa; Chordata; Mammalia; Perissodactyla; Equidae. The record is from Ensembl.